GACGAACGCUGGCGGCGUGCUUAACACAUGCAAGUCGAACGGAAAGGCCCUGCUUUUGUGGGGUGCUCGAGUGGCGAACGGGUGAGUAACACGUGAGUAACCUGCCCUUGACUUUGGGAUAACUUCAGGAAACUGGGGCUAAUACCGGAUAGGAGCUCCUGCUGCAUGGUGGGGGUUGGAAGGUUUCGGCGGUUGGGGAUGGACUCGCGGCUUAUCAGCUUGUUGGUGGGGUAGUGGCUUACCAAGGCUUUGACGGGUAGCCGGCCUGAGAGGGUGACCGGCCACCUUGGGACUGAGAUACGGCCCAGACUCCUACGGGAGGCAGCAGUGGGGAAUAUUGCACAAUGGGCGGAAGCCUGAUGCAGCAACGCCGCGUGCGGGAUGACGGCCUUCGGGUUGUAAACCGCUUUCGCCUGUGACGAAGCGUGAGUGACGGUAAUGGGUAAAGAAGCACCGGCUAACUACGUG
This 468-nucleotide ribosomal RNA is filed under the name uncultured bacterium. RNAcentral describes it as "partial 16S ribosomal RNA". It matches the Rfam family "Bacterial small subunit ribosomal RNA", at positions 28 to 507 of the family's 1533-position model. The record is from RNAcentral.